This 847-nucleotide long non-coding RNA is filed under the name Dasypus novemcinctus (nine-banded armadillo). RNAcentral describes it as "lncRNA (ENSDNOG00000051992.1)". The record is from RNAcentral. Lineage: Eukaryota; Metazoa; Chordata; Mammalia; Cingulata; Dasypodidae.
GUAGAGGUGGGUCGUGCAUGCCAGGUACACCUGCCUCAGGUGUUGCCUAGGGGACGUCGGCUGGAUGCCACCAAGAGCCCUCUUGGUUCAAAGAAGAUCUGCUGCCACCUCCUCCCAGGGCCUCCAUGAGGACAAAGAGGGCAACCUGAAAAUUCUAUGUCCACUUUAAUACCCAGGCCCGCUGAAGCGUGCUUGAAAAGGAAACAACAAAACCUCCAGAGAGAAAACAAAAAUGCAGCAAUGCAGCAACACACCCAGCAGGUCCAUUUUAGGCCUCAGGAAGCGUGGCUCACGGUUCUGGAAAGGUCGCUGUGGAAUGUUGCGCAGGAGUGUCCACCUGCCUGGAAUGGCUUUUGCCUCCUUCUGGGUGGGAGUGGCUGUUUCGUCACCCCUUUUCCCCAACAGCCGGAUUUUUAUUUUUAUUGCUUAAGAGUUAACCAUUUUACACAGAAGAACACACAGCGAACGGACACAGAGAGCAGACAACUGGGGGGUUGGGAGGAGAGAAAAAAAAUCUUAAAAAAAAAAGUUAACUGUUUUAAAGUGAACACUUCGGUGGCAUUUAGUACAUCCACUAUAUUGUGCGACAACCGCCUCGGGCUAGCCGGGGGCUCUUCCACCACCGCAGAGGAAACCCUGUCCCCACUAAGCGGGCACUCCCAUUUCUCCCGCCCCCCGCCCCUGACAACCUCUAAUCUGCUUCUGUUUCUACGGAUUUACCUAAUCCUGGAUAUUUUAUAUAAAUGGAAUUAUAAAAUAUGCGGCCUUUUGUGUUUGGCUUUUCCAUUUAGCAUAAUAUUUUCUGGGCUCAGCCAUGUUGCUGCGUGCACUGGAGCUUCAUUCCCUU